AUACUUUGUGUUUGAGCCUUGAGUACUAGAAGAAAAGCACCAAUACCUAACAAAAUUAAGUGAAUACCCAAAAUUGUAGUCAUUU
Molecule: non-coding RNA, 85 nt
Organism: Phoenix dactylifera (date palm)
Lineage: Eukaryota; Viridiplantae; Streptophyta; Magnoliopsida; Arecales; Arecaceae
Source: RefSeq, a predicted model, not a curated record